UACGGAGGAUGCGAGCGUUAUCCGGAUUUAUUGGGUUUAAAGGGUGCGUAGGCGGAUUUUUAAGUCAGCGGUAAAAUGUCCGGGCUCAACCCGGGCCGGCCGUUGAAACUGGGGAUCUUGAGUGGGCGAGAGGUAUGCGGAAUGCGUGGUGUAGCGGUGAAAUGCAUAGAUAUCACGCAGAACUCCGAUUGCGAAGGCAGCAUACCGGCGCCCGACUGACGCUGAGGCACGAAAGCGUGGGGAUCGAACAGG
RNAcentral lists this ribosomal RNA (252 nucleotides) under uncultured bacterium. Its description in RNAcentral is "partial 16S ribosomal RNA". It matches the Rfam family "Bacterial small subunit ribosomal RNA", at positions 524 to 776 of the family's 1533-position model. The record is from RNAcentral.